UCUACGGGGUGCUGCAGUCGGGAAUAUUGCGCAAUGGAGGAAACUCUGACGCAGUGACGCCGCGUGCAGGCAGAAGGUUUUCGGAUUGUACACUUCUUUAGACAGGGAAGAAAAACGACAGUACCUGUAGACUACGCUCCGGCUAACUAGGUGCCAGCAGCCGCGGUAAUACGUAGGGAGCAAGCGUUAUCCGGAUUUCUUGGGUGUAAAGGGUGCGUAGACGGAGAAGCAAGUUAGUUGUGAAAUCCCUCGGCUUAACUGAGGAACUGCAACUAAAACUACUUCCCUUGAGUACGGGAGAGGAAAGUGGAAUUCCUAGUGUAGCGGUGAAAUGCGUAGAUAUUAGGAGGAACACCAGUGGCGAAGGCGACUUUCUGGACAGUAACUGACGUUGAGGCACGAAAGUGUGGGGAGCAAACAGGAUUAGAUACCCGGGUAGUC
Molecule: ribosomal RNA, 441 nt
Filed under: uncultured bacterium
Lineage: Bacteria
Description: partial 16S ribosomal RNA
Rfam family: Bacterial small subunit ribosomal RNA
Source: RNAcentral